RNAcentral lists this ribosomal RNA (1053 nucleotides) under fungal endophyte. Its description in RNAcentral is "eukaryotic LSU rRNA". The stretch from base 469 to 1053 matches the Rfam family "Eukaryotic large subunit ribosomal RNA", at positions 1 to 597 of the family's 3401-position model. Lineage: Eukaryota; Fungi. The record is from RNAcentral.
CCCUUUGUGAACAUACCUAUGACUGUUGCUUCGGCGGGUAGGGUCUCCGUGACCCUCCCGGCCUCCCGCCCCCGGGCGGGUCGGCGCCCGCCGGAGGAUAACCAAACUCUGAUUUAACGACGUUUCUUCUGAGUGGUACAAGCAAAUAAUCAAAACUUUUAACAACGGAUCUCUUGGUUCUGGCAUCGAUGAAGAACGCAGCGAAAUGCGAUAAGUAAUGUGAAUUGCAGAAUUCAGUGAAUCAUCGAAUCUUUGAACGCACAUUGCGCCCGCCAGCAUUCUGGCGGGCAUGCCUGUUCGAGCGUCAUUUCAACCCUCAAGCUCUGCUUGGUGUUGGGGCCCUACAGCUGAUGUAGGCCCUCAAAGGUAGUGGCGGACCCUCCCGGAGCCUCCUUUGCGUAGUAACUUUACGUCUCGCACUGGGAUCCGGAGGGACUCUUGCCGUAAAACCCCCAAUUUUCCAAAGGUUGACCUCGGAUCAGGUAGGAAUACCCGCUGAACUUAAGCAUAUCAAUAAGCGGAGGAAAAGAAACCAACAGGGAUUGCCUCAGUAACGGCGAGUGAAGCGGCAACAGCUCAAAUUUGAAAUCUGGCCCUAGGCCCGAGUUGUAAUUUGCAGAGGAUGCUUUUGGUGCGGUGCCUUCCAAGUUCCCUAGAACGGGACGCCAGAGAGGGUGAGAGCCCCGUACAGUUGGACACCAAGCCUUUGUAAAGCUCCUUCGACGAGUCGAGUAGUUUGGGAAUGCUGCUCAAAAUGGGAGGUAUAUUUCUUCUAAAGCUAAAUACCGGCCAGAGACCGAUAGCGCACAAGUAGAGUGAUCGAAAGAUGAAAAGCACUUUGAAAAGAGGGUUAAACAGCACGUGAAAUUGUUAAAAGGGAAGCGCUUGUGACCAGACUUGCGUCCGGUGAAUCACCCAGCUCUCGCGGCUGGGGCACUUCGCCGGCUCAGGCCAGCAUCAGCUCGCUGUCGGGGACAAAAGCUUCAGGAACGUAGCUCUCUUCGGGGAGUGUUAUAGCCUGUUGCAUAAUACCCUUCGGCGGGCUGAGGUACG